UGUGGCAGACCAGUGCAAUAAACUUAAGAUUUAUUCAGAAAGUAACCUUUCUUUAGA
Molecule: transfer RNA, 57 nt
Filed under: Eropterus sp. UPOL A00549
Lineage: Eukaryota; Metazoa; Arthropoda; Insecta; Coleoptera; Lycidae
Description: tRNA-Leu
Source: RNAcentral